Molecule: ribosomal RNA, 421 nt
Filed under: uncultured bacterium
Lineage: Bacteria
Description: bacterial SSU rRNA
Rfam family: Bacterial small subunit ribosomal RNA
Source: RNAcentral
AGCGAACGCUGGCGGCAUGCUUAACACAUGCAAGUCGCACGGGCAGGGGCAACCCUGUCAGUGGCGGACGGGUGAGUAACGCGUAGGGAUCUAUCUCUGGGUGGGGGACAACCGUGGGAAACUACGGCUAAUACCGCAUGACACCUGAGGGUCAAAGGCGCAAGUCGCCUGGAGAGGAGCCUGCGUACGAUUAGCUAGUUGGUGGGGUAAAGGCCUACCAAGGCGACGACGUUAGCUGGUCUGAGAGGAUGAUCAGCCACAUUGGGACUGAGACACGGCCCAAACUCCUACGGGAGGCAGCAGUGGGGAAUAUUGGACAAUGGGCGCAAGCCUGAUCCAGCAAUGCCGCGUGUGUGAAGAAGGUCUUCGGAUUGUAAAGCACUUUCGACGGGGACGAUGAUGACGGUACCCGUAGAAGAAG